UACGGAGGAUCCAAGCGUUAUCCGGAUUUAUUGGGUUUAAAGGGUGCGUAGGCGGCCUUAUAAGUCAGUGGUGAAAUCCUAUCGCUUAACGAUAGACGUGCCAUUGAUACUGUAGGGCUUGAGUACAGAUGCCGUUGGCGGAAUGUGUCAUGUAGCGGUGAAAUGCAUAGAUAUGACACAGAACACCGAUUGCGAAGGCAGCUGACGAAACUGUAACUGACGCUGAUGCACGAAAGCGUGGGGAU
Molecule: ribosomal RNA, 245 nt
Filed under: uncultured Solitalea sp.
Lineage: Bacteria; Pseudomonadati; Bacteroidota; Sphingobacteriia; Sphingobacteriales; Sphingobacteriaceae
Description: partial 16S ribosomal RNA
Rfam family: Bacterial small subunit ribosomal RNA
Source: RNAcentral